GUGCUUGCUUCAGCAGCACAGAUACUAAAAUUGGAACAAUACAGAGAAGAUUAGCACGGCCCCUGCGCAAGGAUGACAUGCGAAUUCAUGAAACAUUUUGUAUUAAU
Small nuclear RNA from Aotus nancymaae (Ma's night monkey), 107 nucleotides. Lineage: Eukaryota; Metazoa; Chordata; Mammalia; Primates; Aotidae. The record is from Ensembl.